RNAcentral lists this ribosomal RNA (253 nucleotides) under uncultured bacterium. RNAcentral's name for it is "partial 16S ribosomal RNA". It matches the Rfam family "Bacterial small subunit ribosomal RNA", at positions 524 to 776 of the family's 1533-position model. The record is from RNAcentral.
UACAGAGGUCCCAAGCGUUGUUCGGAUUCACUGGGCGUAAAGGGUGCGUAGGUGGCGGGGUAAGUUCGAUGUGAAAGCUCCGAGCUCAACUCGGAAAUGGCAUUGAAUACUAUCCCGCUCGAGGGUCGGAGGGGAGACUGGAAUUCUCGGUGUAGCAGUGAAAUGCGUAGAUAUCGAGAGGAACACCAGUGGCGAAGGCGAGUCUCUGGACGACUCCUGACACUGAGGCACGAAAGCUAGGGGAGCAAACAGG